AUUAAAUUGGCAGAUAAGUGUGUAAAAUUUAGAAUUUUAUUAUAAAAUUUAUAUUUUAUUUAAUA
This 65-nucleotide transfer RNA is filed under the name Oncopodura yosiiana. Its description in RNAcentral is "tRNA-Leu". The record is from RNAcentral. Lineage: Eukaryota; Metazoa; Arthropoda; Collembola; Entomobryomorpha; Oncopoduridae.